Molecule: ribosomal RNA, 253 nt
Filed under: uncultured bacterium
Lineage: Bacteria
Description: partial 16S ribosomal RNA
Rfam family: Bacterial small subunit ribosomal RNA
Source: RNAcentral
UACAGAGGGUGCAAGCGUUGUUCGGAAUUACUGGGCGUAAAGCGCGUGUAGGCGGUUUUGUAAGUUCUGUGUGAAAGCCCCGGGCUCAACCCAGGAAGUGCGCAGAAUACUGCAUGACUGGAGUGACGGAGAGGAUGGCGGAAUACCCGGUGUAGAGGUGAAAUUCGUAGAUAUCGGGUGGAACACCUGUGGCGAAGGCGGCCAUCUGGACGUCAACUGACGCUGAGACGCGAAAGCAUGGGGAGCAAACAGG